ACUGCUCAGUAACACGUGGAUAACCUGCCCUAAGGAAGGGGAUAACCUCGGGAAACUGAGGAUAAUACCCUAUAGGUUACAGACGCUGGAAUGCCCUGUAACCGAAAGUUCCGGCGCCUUAGGAUGGAUCUGCGGCCGAUUAGGUUGUUGUUGGGGUAACGGCCCAACAAGCCGAUAAUCGGUACGGGUUGUGGGAGCAAGAGCCCGGAGUUGGAUUCUGAGACAUGAAUCCAGGCCCUACGGGGCGCAGCAGGCGCGAAAACUUUACAAUGCGGGAAACCGUGAUAAGGGAACCCCGAGUGCCUGUAUAUGCAGGCUGUCCAGGUGUCUAAAAAACACCUGAAGAAAGGGCCGGGCAAGACCGGUGCCAGCCGCCGCGGUAAUACCGGCGGCUCGAGUGGUGGCCACUUUUAUUGGGCUUAAAGCGUUCGUAGCUGGGUUGUUAAGUCUCUUGGGAAAUCUGACGGCUCAACCGUCAGGCGUCCAAGGGAUACUGGCAAUCUUGGAACCGGGAGAGGUGAGGGGUACUUCGGGGGUAGGAGUGAAAUCCUGUAAUCCUCGAGGGACCACCUGUGGCGAAGGCGCCUCACCAGAACGGCUUCGACAGUGAGGGACGAAAGCUGGGGGAGCAAACCGGAUUAGAUACCCGGGUAGUCCCAGCCGUAAACGAUGCGCGUUAGGUGUAUCGGUGACCACGAGUCACCGAGGUGCCGAAGGGAAACCGUGAAACGUGCUGCCUGGGAAGUACGGUCGCAAGGCUGAAACUUAAAGGAAUUGGCGGGGGAGCAC
RNAcentral lists this ribosomal RNA (789 nucleotides) under Methanoculleus sp. enrichment culture clone A5_26. Its description in RNAcentral is "bacterial SSU rRNA". It matches the Rfam family "Archaeal small subunit ribosomal RNA", at positions 85 to 879 of the family's 1478-position model. The record is from RNAcentral. Lineage: Archaea; Methanobacteriati; Methanobacteriota; Methanomicrobia; Methanomicrobiales; Methanomicrobiaceae.